CAGAAGGAUGGUGGCCAUGGAAGUUGGAAUUCACUAAGGAGUGUUUAACAACUCACCUGCCAA
Molecule: non-coding RNA, 63 nt
Filed under: Macaca fascicularis (crab-eating macaque)
Lineage: Eukaryota; Metazoa; Chordata; Mammalia; Primates; Cercopithecidae
Also listed under: 2 other names
Description: Eukaryotic large subunit ribosomal RNA
Rfam family: Eukaryotic large subunit ribosomal RNA
Source: Rfam by way of RNAcentral